Molecule: long non-coding RNA, 402 nt
Organism: Mauremys reevesii (Reeves's turtle)
Lineage: Eukaryota; Metazoa; Chordata; Testudines; Geoemydidae
Exons: 4
Source: RefSeq, a predicted model, not a curated record
UUCUUCCUAACAUCUGCUACUGACCUCUUUCUACAAUAUGUUUGUGACAAGUGAUCUUAGGCACCGACUCCGUGGGUGCUCCAGGGCUUGAGCAGCCACCGAAAACGGUUAGGAUCUCCAGCAAUCUUUGCCAUGGAUGAAAAUGGUGACAAGAAGAGAAGCAGGGCCCAAUGAGGAGUUCUCACUACCUCAAAAAAGCGAUCAGACAUAGCCCAUGUUAUGCAGGUUCACAAACUCCCUCUCAAGACAAGGAACUUCCAUCCACAUGAAUAGGAAAAGAAAUGCAGAAAACAUUAUUAAUGCAGUGUCAGUAUUGCAAAAAGGACUUGAUCCUGCUCCCAUUCAAUUCAGGGAUUUUGCCAGAUCUCAGUGAAUGAAGGAUGAGGCCUAAAAUCACCAGGA